GUCUGGAUCGUGGUGCUGAAGGACUUUCCAGCAGGAAUGAGCGAGGCUGACGCCGCCGGCGCUGCUCCCUGUUCAUCUUAAAAUAGCGGGUCUGCUCCCGGCGGCGGGCGGGAGCGGCGCGGCGCGGGGAUGCUCUUCGCCUCUGGGGCAGCCGGCGGUGGGAAUGCCGAGAGCCGAGCACCUUACGGGGCUCUUCCCGGUCUGUGUUUGAGCUUGUAGCUCGCUCUUCUUCUGCUUUGUGUGGAAUAUGCUUGAGCUUCUGCUGCAGCCAGGACUCCGCGCUUAACGAUGCUCCAACUGUGAGUCUUCAGAGCUAGGUGGGAUUUAGUGCCUGGCGUGAGGCAGGAAUGAAGGCAAGUUUGGAUAGCGGCUCUUCGGCUUAAGCUGCUGUACCACUGAUGUGCUUUCCUGUGUGCUGCUUUUAUUACUGUUUGCAAAAUACCAGGUGUCCACGCAGUUUUAAGCCUUGUCCAUUGAGAAAAAUAAACCACUCGAGAGGGAGUCAGUAACAACAUCCAGUAGGUUUCUGGUUUUAAAAUUGUUUGACUUGCCUGAUUUCCGUAUAAUUUAUCUACAAGAGCCAAUUUAUGCAAGACUAUCCAGCUACAGAACUGCCAAGGCUAUGAGAGAACGCAGCCAGCAGAGCCUCGGUGGACACGUCCUGUAUGUAGGGUUAUUCCGACAUCCAGGAAUGCUGCACAGGGCUAAGUACAGCCGGUUCAGGAAUGACUCGAUAACAUCCCUUGAUGAAGGUACACAAAAUACGUCUUUAAAUAUUAAAGGUUCUUCCUCCUCUUCCCAUUCUUCGUCACCUAAUUUACUUGCAGAAGAUGUCUCCUUGGGGCCACAGGACACCUGCAGCACCCUGUGCACGCUGAUCCCCCGCAUGGCUAACAUUAAACUUGCCAACCCAUCAAAUCUGCCGGGGCUGAAAAGCUUCUGUCUGGGAAUGAAAGAGGUGCCACGGAUUAAGCUCACGGAGUGUGUUACCAUCCCGAGCAGCCCAACCUCGCCUGAGAUCAGCUGCCUGUCGGCCUCCUACCCACAGCCUGACCUGGACAAGCUGGCCCUAAUCCCAAAGGCAGCGGGUGACUGUGCCGUGCGGGGAGCAGAGGAGGCCGCUCCCAUGGGCAGGCAGGACAGGAGCCUUGCACAGAGCCGUGAGAGCGUGGCGGAGCCGGGAACGACCUACAGCGUGCGGUACAUGGGCUGCAUUGAAGUGCUGCAGUCAAUGAGGUCCCUGGACUUUGGCACACGAACGCAAGUCACCAGGGAAGCAAUAAGCCGGCUGUGCGAAGCUGUAUCAGGUACAAAUGGAGCUAUAAAAAAGCGGAAGCCUCCAGUGAAGUUUCUAUCUUCUGUACUUGGCAAAAGUAACCUUCAGUUUUCUGGUGUGAAUAUAAAGCUGACCAUUUCAACAAGCAGCCUCACUUUGAUUAAUGUUGACACGCAGCAGAUUAUUGCCAACCAUCACAUGCAGUCCAUCUCAUUUGCUUCUGGAGGUGACCCAGAUACAACAGACUACGUUGCAUACGUAGCAAAAGAUCCUGUUAAUCAGAGAGCAUGCCACAUACUGGAAUGUCCCAAUGGGAUGGCGCAGGAGGUGAUAAACACCAUAGGGCAGGCUUUUGAGCUCCGGUUCAGACAGUACCUGAAGAACCCCUCUAGCCUGGUUACGUCUAAUGAAAGCGAGGCAGCAAAUGCUAAUGGAUCAGCUGGGAAUUCGCAGGAGAGGGAGGAUCGUGAAUAUUACAACGAAAUUCCAGGGAAAGAGCCUCCCACCGGUGGAGUAUUAGACAUGCGAAUGAAAGUGCAAACAGAGCAAAGGGCUAACUGUCUUACACAGUGCAAAAAGCACUACUGCUUGACAGGCAGCCCAACAUUCAUCAAUAUAUAUGAAAAUUGUCCAGAAGAAAACAAAACUGUGGGUAACUGUGUUGAAAGAUCACAGAAGACAAAAAAAGAGGCAACAUUAUUGAAGCCUGCCUACAAAACAGAUCUUUUUGAUGAUCCGUGUUACAUCAACACUCAGACCCUGCAGUCUGCAGUCUGUACAGCCCGCGGUACAGCAACAAUACAGACCCAUGGGAGCCCACUGCGUCAGGCCAGCAGAGUUACCGGAAGCUGUUCAGCAGAGUGCCACAAGCAACACAGCUGGUCUCUGUGUUCUGCCACAAAUAAAGCAGCAGCUAAAGAAUGAAGACUGUUACCAUGGCAAAUUAAACAGGAAAGCAGCAGAGAGCCUCUUAGUCAACGAUGGGGAUUUUCUGGUGCGAGAGAGCACAACGUCACCUGGCCAGUAUGUCCUCAGUGGACUUCAGGGAGGGCAAGCAAAGCAUCUGCUUUUGGUGGACCCUGAGGGCAAGGUGAGAACCAAAGACCAUAUAUUUGAUAGUGUGGGUCAUCUUAUUCAGUAUCACAUGGAAAAUAAUUUGCCAAUCAUCUCUUCUGGAAGCGAAGUGAGCUUGAAGCAGCCUGUAAGGAAAGACAGUAAUGUGGGACACGUGCAGUAUCACAAAUAAUCCCUUGGAUCUCACAAAUCCCAAGACAAUUCAUGUUUGAAAACUGUCUAGAACUUUCUAUUAUGAAGACAAUUCAAAACAGUAGAGACUGCACUUUCUGCUGCUGUUCCAGAAGACCCUUUUGUGUGUGUAUGUAUGAAUAUAUGUAUAUGUGUAUAUCUAUGUAGAUCUGUAGAGAUCAACAGGCAUAGUUAUAUAGAUAUAUAUAAUCUUAAUGAAAUUACACCUUCAGAGUGGGAGAUUCAUUUGUGAGAAGGUAUUUUAGACAUGCACAAAUGUCACUUUCAAGGUCAUACUGAAUCAGUAACUAUUUAAAAGCACAAUUAAACCUCUACAUGCAAAUGCUCACUUGAACGAACUGCUGGAACAUUAGUAUGUGCCUUUUAGCUUAGGAUUAUUGGAAACCAAUAUUAUUUAUACUGAAUUAGUUUUGGGUGGUUAAACAAACAUGUCUAUGCUGUUAACUAUUUGCCAAAACAAGUACAAUUUGAAUAUUACUAAAAUGUCAUCUGCUUUCGAUAGACACUAACAAUUUCAUUUUGCUUGUAACAGCACUUUACUAGCAAGUAAUGUUUGAAAUGAGUAGCAUUCACAAUACAGAAAGGUUGUCCGUUUUCUUAAUCAUUUUUUAUCACUGUCUGACGACUCAAAGAUUUGAGAUUAUGCAACAUUUACAAAGUUGAAAUUAAUAUAUGUAAUAUAAUUUUGGAAUAGAACUUGUUAAAGGACAAGCAUGCUAGAUCCUAAUAUUUUUGUCUUGCAUAUGAUUUUACUAUUACUACCAAUUAAUACUGGAGACAUCUCUUUUUAAAGGUAGCCUAAAUAUAUUUUCAUUGAUUACAUAGUUGUUUACAAACUAGAGAAGCGGAACAAAACUAAUGAUACAUUUUGAAAGAAAACUAUUUAAAAGAUGUUUGAACUUUGCAUGUGCUCUUAUCCAAUGUUCUUUCCAAAACAAGAUACAGUUUUCCCUUUCUUCACGUAGAGUCCAUUUGUUCCUAAACAUGGUAAAAAGUCUUUUAAAGGAAACCUAUGAAUUGUUUUGCCACAAUAAAUAAAUAUGAACAAUCCUA
Molecule: RNA transcript, 3595 nt
Organism: Strigops habroptila (Kakapo)
Lineage: Eukaryota; Metazoa; Chordata; Aves; Psittaciformes; Psittacidae
Gene: SHC4
Gene name: SHC adaptor protein 4
Exons: 12
Source: RefSeq, a predicted model, not a curated record